AUUGAACGCUGGCGGCAGGCCUAACACAUGCGAGUCGAGCGGAUGAAGGGAGCUUGCUCCUGGAUUCAGCGGCGGACGGGUGAGUAAUGCCUAGGAAUCUGCCUGGUAGUGGGGGAUAACGUCCGGAAACGGGCGCUAAUACCGCAUACGUCCUGAGGGAGAAAGUGGGGGAUCUUCGGACCUCACGCUAUCAGAUGAGCCUAGGUCGGAUUAGCUAGUUGGUGGGGUAAAGGCCUACCAAGGCGACGAUCCGUAACUGGUCUGAGAGGAUGACCAGUCACACUGGAACUGAGACACGGUCCAGACUCCUACGGGAGGCAGCAGUGGGGAAUAUUGGACAAUGGGCGAAAGCCUGAUCCAGCCAUGCCGCGUGUGUGAAGAAGGUCUUCGGAUUGUAAAGCACUUUAAGUUGGGAGGAAGGGCAGUAAGUUAAUACCUUGCUGUUUUGACGUUACCAACAGAAUAAGCACCGGCUAACUUCGUG
RNAcentral lists this ribosomal RNA (484 nucleotides) under uncultured bacterium. Its description in RNAcentral is "partial 16S ribosomal RNA". It matches the Rfam family "Bacterial small subunit ribosomal RNA", at positions 30 to 507 of the family's 1533-position model. The record is from RNAcentral.